This 465-nucleotide ribosomal RNA is filed under the name uncultured bacterium. RNAcentral's name for it is "partial 16S ribosomal RNA". It matches the Rfam family "Bacterial small subunit ribosomal RNA", at positions 338 to 795 of the family's 1533-position model. The record is from RNAcentral.
CCUACGGGUGGCAGCAGUGGGGAAUAUUGCGCAAUGGGCGAAAGCCUGACGCAGCGACGCCGCGUGCGGGAUGAAGGUCUUCGGAUCGUAAACCUCUGUCAGCAGGGAAGAACAGUCACUGUGCUAAUCAGCAGUGAAUUGACGGUACCUGCAAAGGAAGCACCGGCUAACUCCGUGCCAGCAGCCGCGGUAAUACGGAGGGUGCGGGCGUUAAUCGGAAUUACUGGGCGUAAAGCGGUCGUAGGCGGUAUGUCAAGUCAAGGGUGAAAUCCCCGCGCUCAACGUGGGAACUGCCUUUGAAACUGGCAAACUGGAGUGUGUGAGAGGAUAGCGGAAUUCCAGGUGUAGGAGUGAAAUGCGUAGAUAUCUGGAAGAACACCAGUGGCGAAGGCGACUAUCUGGCACAUAACUGACGCUGAGGGGCGAAAGCGUGGGUAGCAAACAGGAUUAGAUACCCUUGUAGUC